AAGAUUAAUGACCUCAAGGGUCUUCUGAAAGAGAUUGCUAAUAAAAUCAAAUAAAACUCAUGAACCGUAAUGGAGAAAAUUCUAAUAAGAACAAGACCUCUGAGUGGAAAAGACACAAGGAGGCUGAAGAACCCCUUGGUUACUGAAUGAGAACUGCUCAGCUGGGGGUUUUGAGCACCUGUGUGCUUGAACCUGAAGAUGAGACGUGUGAUGAACUUCACUGGAGAAGGUGGAGAUGAAGGAAGACCACCUCUAUAGUGCUCCCCUGAAGGCUGCCUGUUACCUCAGGGCCAGCACUUGCUAUUAUUGAUGGUUUCAAAGUCUGCUCUCUCUUCUGCCUGUACUCCCCCCUUGGCCAUGCCUGUCCUAGGAGAACAUGCCUCCUCAGAAUAGUAGCCUGGCCAUGCUUUCCUUCGUUGAUCUCCAAUCAGUUCUCCAUUAUUUUCCUUUUUGUAUCAUGUGACUAAUUCGUUGGCAUAUUGUGAAAAUCUCCCAAAUCAGGUCACAUUUUAAAACAUGCCGUUGCAGGAAGACCCCACUCUUCCCAGGAGAAACUUUCCUCGCCUCAUUCAGCUUUUUAUCUCAAAGGCGUGGCAAACCUGCACCCUUUCCCCUCACUUACCUGAAGCUCCAGCCAAAGGAAGCACCCCAUUCCUGACAAUGUGCAAAUCACCCCAAAAUGGAGCUUUGAGAGGCACCUCUGCUUUUCAUUGGGUGCUUCUCUCUCUCCUCUUAUAUAUUAUUUUUCCAUUAAAAAUAACUCAUGGGAAUUAUAGAAAAUUUAGACUACAUGAAAAAGUAGGAAAGAUAUAAAUAAUCCCACUACCUAAAGAUAAUCAUUGCUACCAUUUCAGGAGGCUUCUCCAUGUCUGUUCCUAUGCAUGUUUUCUCUCUCUCUUAAAAUUUUACAUAAUGUCAUUAUGCCAUAUACACAAUUUCAUAUAAGCUUUUAUCAAAGAUGUCUUCUUAUAGUUGUGGCCUUCUUAAACACUACAUCAAUAAUGGCAAAUAUUCAGCCUCUAAUGAGCCCCACAGGCUUGGUCACCGAAGGCUGGCUCCAGUAGGUCAGUGGGUUGAGCAUCUCUGUGCGUGAAUCUCGCUGCCACUGUGGAAAUUUCCCACGGCUCGAUCCCACAAAUAUGUAUUAAUGAUCAAACCACUUACAAGGCUUUUUCAUAAAUGCACAGCAAAUAGGAAUUAUUAACUUGAGUAGAAGAUAGGAGAUAUGUGAACCUAGAGCUCUUAACAUAAAAUAUAUUUAAUCUUUAGGAAGAAGCCAAUGUGCUUAUUUAAAUAUUACUCAUGGUGAAGGCAUUGGUAGAGAAUUGGUGAGAAUAUCUUAUUGAACAGGCCUGGUCCCAGCUUUCUCUGGAACAGGUGGUAUCGUCACCCCAAAGAGAUGGGCUGGCAGUACAUAAGGCAAUUCCAAAUGCCCAUAGUUAGUUUUCUCAGCUUUGAAUAGAGCUAUAAACUCAGUGGCCAAAGAAGAAAAUCUUAGAAGGAAGCUAUUAAAAGAUAAUCUAAUUAGAAAAACUACAAAAGCAUGAACCAAACGAACAAAACAAAACAAAACUGCUUUCCUUUUGUCUAGGCAGCAUACUUAAAAUGACUCCUCACAGCAUUCAUGCUGCCUGCAGGAAGGAGCACAAAUAACAGGAUUUGUGCUUCAAUCCCAUUAAUGGCCUAAAAGGGAAUCUUUGUCAAUAGGGUCGAUCAAUUCAGGGCUUUGGACACUGGAAAUAGAUGGGAUCAAAUUUACAUGACAAACACUGUCAAUGAAUGGCAUUUUGGAGAUUUCUCUGAGAGAGAAUGCCACUUCCAUUUCACCAUGGCAACCAGAACCUCUGCUUUUUUUCUGAAGCCACAGAGAGGAGGCUUAUGUCAUCUCCACACUAACCGGAACAAUAAAGCACACAGCACUGCAUACGAUCGUGCAGAGAGGACCCACAGUCCCAGGCCCAUACCCUCAGUUCAAGUAGGAACUUUGAAUAAAAUCAGUACAUUAAAUUGAAAACCUCCCAGAAGACAAAAUUGAGCACAACUCUUGGCUGAUCCCCUUAAAUUAAGCACAUGUCCAUAUUUUCAUAUUUCCACUGGCUGUGUUUUUGUUAGUUUAACACAGGCCUAUGUGUGUAUCACCAUCAGCAGCUA
This is a long non-coding RNA of Pipistrellus kuhlii (Kuhl's pipistrelle), 2151 nucleotides long. RefSeq lists it as uncharacterized. The transcript is spliced from 2 exons. The record is from RefSeq and is a predicted model, not a curated record. NCBI's taxonomy places the organism in Eukaryota, Metazoa, Chordata, Mammalia, Chiroptera, Vespertilionidae.